This 647-nucleotide unclassified non-coding RNA is filed under the name Hevea brasiliensis (rubber tree). The record is from RNAcentral. Lineage: Eukaryota; Viridiplantae; Streptophyta; Magnoliopsida; Malpighiales; Euphorbiaceae.
GUUUCCACUCACCAACUCAAGUUACACGAUAGCAUAAAGCCGAUGGUUUGUUCUUUUAAAUGAAAAUAACACAUAUCUAUAAGAUUCUCUUGGUGAACUACUCUGUCACUAACACUUGAUUAGGUUUUCAAAAGUUCUCUUCAUCUUCUUGGUUGUCAUCUGAGGUUAGAAGAUGAUUUAAAGCGACUUUCGCCUUCUUUGUUUCUUUUGACUUAUCCUUGGUUUCAUCUUCGUCACCCUUUCUCUUGAGCGAUUCAUCUUUCCCAGCCACAAUUUCCCCUUCCUCACUUGUAGCAGCUUUCUCUAACUUCUCCUCCUGCGAAGAGGACUUUGGUUCUGAUUCAACCUUGUUCUCUUCAUCAUUUAGAGCUUCUUUGGAGGAUGCAGUUUCAGGUUGACGUAAAAUGGAGCUGACUUCUUCAUUGCUUGCGAGAUCAAGGGAUGUUUUCCCUGCCUUGUUUUUAGUGUUAACAUUUGAACCUUUCUUCAGCAAAUAUUUGACGAGUUCUAGGUGAGACCCUUGGGCAGCAUAAUGAAGGGCAGUCAUACCCUUGCGGUUGCAUGAUUUGACAGACACUCCAGAACUAACAAGAAGCCUAACAACUUCUAAAUGACCUUUUUGAGCAGCAAAGUGAAUUGCACCCAUG